UUUAUAGGGCUGCACCAACGGCAUAUGGAAGUUCCUAGGCUAGGGGUCGAAUGAGAGCUAUAACUGCUGGCUUACACCACAGCCACAGCAAUGCUAGAUCUGAGCUGCAUCUGAGACCUACACUACAGCUCACAGCAACGCUGGAUCCUUGACCCACUCAACAAGGCCAGGUAUAAUACCUGCAUCCUCACAGAUACUAGUCAGAUUCGUUUCCACUGAGCUACAACAGAAACUCCUGAUUGUUUAUUUUGUUGUGGAGAAGCUCUUUAGUUUGAUGUAGCUCCACUUGCUUAUUUUUUGCUUGUACUUUGGGUAUCAUAAUCCAAAAACUCAUUGCCACAACCAAUGUCAAGGAGCUUUUUUUCCUGUUUUCUUCUAAGGGGUUUUAUGGUCUCAGGUCUUACAUUUAAGUCUUUAAUGCAUUUUGAGUUAAUUUUUGUAAACGAUAUAAGGUAGGGGUCCAACUUCACUAUUCUGCAUGUAUUUAUACAGUUCUCCCAAACCAGUUAUUGAAGAGGCUAUUAUUGGCACCUCUGUCAAAUAUUAGUUGGCCUUGUAAGUGUGGGCUUAUUUCUGGGAUCUCAAUUCUAUUCCAGUGGUCUAUGGUUUCUAUUUUUAUGCCAGUACCAUCCAUUUCAAUUACUACAGCAUUGCAAUAAAGUUUGAAAUCAGGAAUUUUGAUGCCUGAAAGGGGGUGUAUCAUAAGGAAAAUAGAAACCUUAGACUUGUAGAAAUUUUCCUACUAAUCUGAUUCUUUAAAAACAUUUUAAGCCUCCUUCUUAAAUAAUUACAUUAGAUGGAACACUGUAAAUCAAAUAAAAUAAAACAAUUUUUUAAUUGCAUUAGGUCACUGUUUUAGUUACACUGAUCUGUGUAGUACUUAAAGUUUUAAUGUUUCUCCUUUUCAAAAGUCUAUUUUCUGAGCAAAUAUUUUGACUAAUGCUCUAUAUAAGUUAGAAAGCUAAUUUGAGAAAAAAAAUGAUCAAUGGAAUUUAACUGCUUUAGCAGAAUUCUAUAAGGAAAAUGUCUCCAAAUGGCAAAAUAUCACAUAAUAAUAUGAUAUACCUUAAAGAAAAUAGUUACUAAAUCCUAGAGAUUCAAAACCAUAAAAUGAAAAGAAUUUUGAAAUUAACCCAAAGAAAUUAACUCUCAGAUGAUUAACUCUCGAGUUUGGCAAAAAAAAAUUUUUUUAAUUAAAAAAAAUAAGAAGAAUAAAAUAUAUCAAUAAUCAUUAUAUCUCAAUAAUCAUCAUAAUUUGUAAUUAUGAUUAUUUAUUUUAGAAGAAAAGCUGGGAUAAAGAAAGGAUGAUUUUAUAGGACCACACUGUUCAUCAAAAAAAAUGCUUUACCAAUUUACUAUUUCUAAAUUUAGUGGUUCAAAUAUGUCUCUCCAUUGAGAUUUUUACUCCCUGCAUAUUCCUUUCUACUUGAAUUCUCACCUUGGUUGUCUCACCAAGGCCAACAUGAUAAGGCAUUGUGAAAACAUGAUAUGCACAGUGAAAGAAGCACAGUUAGGAACUUCUCAGCUCACAAAGAUAAAUGAAACAUGGUACCAGCUCCUAGGACACCUACAGUCACAAAAAGGAACUAAAACAGCCACACAGGCAACUACUAACCAUGUAAUUCCAGAUAAAAUGUGAUAAGUAUUUUAAAGGAGGCAUAAUUAGGAGUUCCCUUUGUGACUCAGUGGUUAACAAACCUGACUAGGAUCCAUGAGGAUACAGGUUCCAUUCCUGGCCUCGAUCAGUGGGUUAAGGAUCCAGCGUUGCCAUGGGCUGUGGUGUAGGUUGCAGACACGGCUCAGAUCCUGCAUUGCUGUGGCUGUGGCCCUAAAAAAAGCAAAAAAAAAAAGAGGUAUAAUGAAAAUACAAAUGGAGCUCCUCUAUAUUGUUGAAAGGAAUGUAACUGCAGCAACUGCUAUGGAAAACAGUAUGGAAGUUCCUUUAAAAACUAAAAAUAAAGGUGCCAUAUGAUCUGGUGAUCACACUCCUGAGUAUAUGUCUGGAGAGAUCUCUAAUUUGAAAAUAUACAUGCACCCCAACAUUCAUAGCAGCACUUUUUACAGUAGUCAAGACAUGAAAACAACACAUAAAUGUCCAAGGACAAAGAAGAUGUGGUAUACAUAUAUAAUGGAAUAUUACUCAGCCAUGAAAAAGAAUGAAAUAACGCCAUUUGCAGCAACAUGGAUGCAACUAGAGAUUAUCAUACUAAGUGAAGUAAGUCAGAAAGAGAAAGACAAAUAUUAUAUGAUAUCACUUAUUUGUGGAAUCUAAAAUAUGACACAAAUGAACUUAUUUACAAAAUAGAAACAAACUCAGAGACAUAGAAAACAAACUUAUGGUUACCAGAGGGGAAAGAGGGGUGGGGGAGGGAUAAAUUGGGAGUUUUGGAUUAGCAGAUACAAACUACUAUACAAAACAUAUAAAUAGGGAGUUCCCAUUGUGGUGCAGUGGAAACAAAUCCAACUAGUAUCCAUGAGGAUGUAGGUUCGAUUCCUGAUCUUGCUCAGUGGGUUAGGGAUCCAGCGUUGCCAUGAGCUGUGGUGUAGGUUACAGACAAGGCUCGGAUCCUGUGUUGCUUCACCUGUGCGUAGGCUCAGAGCUGUAGCUCCAAUUCAACCCCUAGCCUAGGAAUUUCCAUAUGCCUCAGGAGCAGCCCUAAAAAUAAAAAUAAAAUAAAAUAAAAUAGAUAAACAACAAGAUUCUACUGUAUAGCACAGGGAACUGUAUUCAGUAUCCUGUAGUAAGCUGUAAUGGAAAAUAUUAUGCUAAAGAAUUUAUAGAGGUGGGAUGAAGAUGGCAGAGGAGUAAGACAUGGUGCUCACCUUCUCCCAAAAACACAUCAAAAAACCCAAAAAUCCCAUCUACAUGUAGAACGAUUUGCACAGAACAUCUACUGGCAGAAGAUGUUAAACUUCCAAAAAGGGCAAGAAACUCUCCACAUAACUGUGUAGAACAAAAGGGGGGAAAAAAAUGAGGGAGAGAAGAGAGAAAAAGGGAAUUAGUAUGGGUCUAGCACUCCUGAGAGGGAGCUGUGAAAGAGGAAAGAAAUCUGUACCCUGGGAACCCACCUAAUUGGCGGGGAGAUCAGCCAAGAUGGAGAGGGAAGAUCAAAGCCCUAGAGAAAAGUGCAACAGCCAGACUGAGGAGGUCAAAGCAGAGCGAGAGCCACAGAGACCAUCAGCACCACUGCCCUGGACACCACUGCCUGAGACACUUGGUCAGGGGCUGGGUGCUGAGACUCAGGCUCUGGAGGUCAGUUCUAGGGAGAGAACUAGGGUUGCUGUGUGGAGACAGCCUAGGGGCUAGGGAGCAAUGUGCCAUGUGCUGGGGAGCAGAGCACCACAACCAAGGGAGUGAGGGAGGAGGGGCAGGACUGCAAUAGGAAUAUCCUUCUCUGUGCAUGAGUGGGUUCUCAGGCAGCAGGGUCCCUCCUGCGUGGGCUAUGGGAAAUGGGGGCAAACUGACCCAGCCAUCUCAGACUCCAGAGGUGAGUGUGGUCCACCACCACUAGGGGUCCAUGAACAGGCACCACCUAUGGCUCCAGUCACCUCAGGGGUUAUCACAGAGGAAGGCAUUACAACUGAGCACCACCCAGUGUUCCUCCCCUAGGCACUACAACUGAGCACCACCAGUGUUCCUCCCCUAGGAAUAUCCUGUGGCUGUCACUGCCAAAGGCUCUGGUCACCACCUACCCCUGCCUGAGGGUCACUGCCACCUCUCAGGGCCCUGCAACCAGGAGCAGCCUGUGCCACCUCCUCAUGGGUCCCCACCACUGUCAAGGGCCGAGCAACCAGACACUGGCUACUAGCCCUGCCCAUUUCUUCCAACUCCCUGGAAGCACAUGCAGGCUGUACACCAGCAUGGGGAUAACAGCCUACAGACACUGAGGAAAGAGAAAGCAAGCAUCCAAACCAAAAUAGCCUUCCAAGACUACAGCAGCUGUUUUUGCUGAACUCACAGAAUAAGAAAAAUAUAAGCAAAAUGAAGAGGCUCAGGAACCAUUCCAGGUUAAAAGAACAGGAGAAUUUUCUGAAGGAGCAAACAAUGAAAUAGACCUCUGCAGCCUAAAAGACAUCAAGUUCAAAAAGGUGAUAGUGAAAAUUCUGAAGGAAUUAAAAAAUGGAUAUGAAUGAAGAGCAGAUAUGAACAGUAAUGCAGAUUACUUUAGAAAGGAACUAGAAAAUAUAAGGAGGAGCUGAGGAAAAUUAGAAAAUUCACUUGCAGAGAUAUAAGGUGAGUUAAAGGUACUGAGGAGCAUAAUGAAUAAUGUAGAGGGACAAAUCAGUGACUUGGAAGAUAGAAUAAUGGAAAUAACCCAAUUAAGGACAGCAGAUAGAAAACCAUAUGAAAAAACAUUAAUGCAACAUAAGAGAUCAAUAGGAUAAUAUAAAGCAGACCAAUCUAUGUAUAAUAGGGAUUCUAGAAGGAGAAAAAAAAAAAAAGGAAAGGGGAUUGAAAAUACAUUUGAAGAAAUUAUGGCUGAAAACUUUCCAAAUCUAAAGGAAACAUAUAUCAAGAUACAGGAAGCACAGAAGGCCCCAAACAAGUUGAAUUCAAACAGGCCCAUACCAAGACAUAAUAGUAAUGGCAAAAGUUAAAGAUAAGGAGAAGAUUCUAGAGGGAGCAAGGAAAAAAAAAUUAAUUAUAAGGGAACCCCCAUAAGGCUAUCAGCUGAUUUCUCUAUAGAAACACUGCAGGCCAGAAGAGAGUGGCAAGAUACAUUUAAAGUUCUAAAAGGUAAAAACUGGGAAGUUCCCAUCGUGGCUCAGUGGUAGCAACCCUGACUAGGGAAAAUGAGGAUGCAGGUUCGAUCCCUGUCAGUGGAUUAAGGAUCUGGCACUGCUGUGAGCUGUGGUAUAGGUCGCAGACACGGCUCGGGUCAUGAGUUGCUCUGGCUGUGGUGUAGGCUGGCAGCUGUAGCUCCAAUUCAGUCCCUAGCCUGGGAACCUCCAUAUGCUGAGGGUGUGGCCCUAAAAUACAAAAAAAUAAAAUAAAAUAAAUCAAAGGGAAAAUACUGCAGCCCAGAAUACUCUAACCAACAAGAAUAUCAUUUAACUAGAAGGAGGAGGAAUUCCUGUUGUGGUACAGUGGAAGGGAAUCUGACUAGCAUCCAUGAGGAUGCAGUUUGAUCACUGGCCUCGUUCAGGGGGUUAAAAAUCUGGCAUUGCCGUGAGCUGUGGUGUAGGUCGCAGACACGGCUCAGAUCCCAAGUUGCUAUGGCCAGCAGCUGUAGCUCCAAUUUGAUCCGUAGCCUGGGAACUUCCAUAUGCCACGGGUGCAGCCCUAAAAAGCAAAAAAAAAAUAUAUAUAUAAAUAAAUAAUUAGAAGGAGAAAUAAAGAAUUUUUCCAAAAAAUAAAAACUAAAAGAAUACAGCAAUACUAAACCCACUGUAAAGGAAAUAUUGAAAGGUCUUCUCUAAAUAGGAAAGAAGUAAGAAGAUAGAGGAUGGAGGAAAUCACAACUGGAAAGUAAUCACUCAAAUAAGCCAGUCUACAGA
Molecule: long non-coding RNA, 5499 nt
Filed under: Sus scrofa (pig)
Lineage: Eukaryota; Metazoa; Chordata; Mammalia; Artiodactyla; Suidae
Description: lncRNA (ENSSSCG00015024881.1)
Source: RNAcentral